RNAcentral lists this ribosomal RNA (413 nucleotides) under uncultured prokaryote. Its description in RNAcentral is "bacterial SSU rRNA". It matches the Rfam family "Bacterial small subunit ribosomal RNA", at positions 505 to 918 of the family's 1533-position model. The record is from RNAcentral.
GUGCCAGCCGCCGCGGUAAUACGUAGGGGGCGAGCGUUACCCGGAAUCACUGGGCGUAAAGGGGGCGUAGGCGGUUUGGCAAGCCAAGUGUGAAAUCCGGCGGCUCAACCGCUGGGCUGCGCUUGAAACUGCCGGGCUUGAGUGCAGCAGAGGGAGACGGAAUUGCCGGUGUAGGGGUGAAAUCCGUAGAUAUCGGCAAGAACGCCGGUGGGGAAGCCGGUCUCCUGGGCUGUUACUGACGCUGAGGCCCGAAAGCUGGGGGAGCGAACCGGAUUAGAUACCCGGGUAGUCCCAGCCGUAAACGAUGCUCACUAGGUGUGGGGGAGAUAAAUCCUCCGUGCUGAAGCUAACGCGCUAAGUGAGCCGCCUGGGGAGUAUGCCCGCAAGGGUGAAACUCAAAGGAAUUGACGGGG